Molecule: ribosomal RNA, 501 nt
Filed under: Serratia marcescens
Lineage: Bacteria; Pseudomonadati; Pseudomonadota; Gammaproteobacteria; Enterobacterales; Yersiniaceae
Also listed under: 2 other names
Description: bacterial SSU rRNA
Rfam family: Bacterial small subunit ribosomal RNA
Source: RNAcentral
AGACAGGUGCUGCAUGGCUGUCGUCAGCUCGUGUUGUGAAAUGUUGGGUUAAGUCCCGCAACGAGCGCAACCCUUAUCCUUUGUUGCCAGCGGUUCGGCCGGGAACUCAAAGGAGACUGCCAGUGAUAAACUGGAGGAAGGUGGGGAUGACGUCAAGUCAUCAUGGCCCUUACGAGUAGGGCUACACACGUGCUACAAUGGCAUAUACAAAGAGAAGCGACCUCGCGAGAGCAAGCGGACCUCAUAAAGUAUGUCGUAGUCCGGAUUGGAGUCUGCAACUCGACUCCAUGAAGUCGGAAUCGCUAGUAAUCGUAGAUCAGAAUGCUACGGUGAAUACGUUCCCGGGCCUUGUACACACCGCCCGUCACACCAUGGGAGUGGGUUGCAAAAGAAGUAGGUAGCUUAACCUUCGGGAGGGCGCUUACCACUUUGUGAUUCAUGACUGGGGUGAAGUCGUAACAAGGUAACCGUAGGGGAACCUGCGGUUGGAUCACCUCCUUA